RNAcentral lists this ribosomal RNA (493 nucleotides) under uncultured bacterium. Its description in RNAcentral is "bacterial SSU rRNA". It matches the Rfam family "Bacterial small subunit ribosomal RNA", at positions 899 to 1397 of the family's 1533-position model. The record is from RNAcentral.
ACUCAAAGGAAUUGACGGGGACCCGCACAAGCAGUGGAGUAUGUGGUUUAAUUCGACGCAACGCGAAGAACCUUACCGGGGCUUGACAUCCACAAAAGCGGUACGAAAGUAUCGUGUGCCCUUCGGGGAAUUGUGAGACAGGUGGUGCAUGGUUGUCGUCAGCUCGUGUCGUGAGAUGUUGGGUUAAGUCCCGCAACGAGCGCAACCCUUGCCUUCAGUUGCUACGCAAGAGGACUCUGAAGGGACUGCCGUUGACAAAACGGAGGAAGGUGGGGACGACGUCAAAUCAUCAUGCCCUUUAUGUUCCGGGCUACACACGUACUACAAUGGUCGGUACAGCGGGAAGCAAAGGCGCGAGCCGGAGCGAAACGAGAAAACCGAUCUCAGUUCGGAUUGCAGGCUGCAACCCGCCUGCAUGAAGUCGGAAUUGCUAGUAAUCGCGAAUCAGCAUGUCGCGGUGAAUACGUUCCCGGGUCUUGUACACACCGCCCGU